This is a long non-coding RNA of Zingiber officinale, 1046 nucleotides long. RefSeq lists it as uncharacterized. The record is from RefSeq and is a predicted model, not a curated record. The transcript is spliced from 4 exons. NCBI's taxonomy places the organism in Eukaryota, Viridiplantae, Streptophyta, Magnoliopsida, Zingiberales, Zingiberaceae.
CACCUACUUAUCUCCCGAAUACCUCCCGAACCCCUCUCACACGAUCUUCAAUCUCCUCCAGAACCCCUCUCACACAAACCUCAUCUCACGCCCUCUCCAUCCAAAUCCUCUCCGGCGAACCCCUCCGCGAACCUCUCCUCCGAACUCCUCUUCGCCGAACAAACCUCAUCUCACGCCCUCUUCCUCGACGAGCCCACCACCGGGCUCGACAACGUCGCCGCCUGCUUCAUGGUGGAGACGCUGAAGCACAUCGUGGUGGACAAAUGCACCAGCACGCAACAAAAUGCAAGGCCUGUGACAAGACUGUCUACCUUGUGGAUCAGCUCACCGCCGACGAAAUCGUCUUCCAUAAGUCCUGCUUAAGUGCAAUCAUUGCAAAGGAACCCUCACGCUAAGUACAUAUUCAUCCAUGGAAGGUGUUUUGUAUUGCAAGCCUCACUUUGAACAACUCUUCAAGGAAUCUGACAACUUCCACAGGAAUUUUCCGUCAUCUGCAAAAUCUUCUGAUAAAGCUCUAGAACUGAAACAAGCCAUUUAUAAAUUAGUCAAGUGCUAAAGGAAGAUGAGACUAGAGGUGACUCCUAACAAUGAGACUCUUAACUUUGCCCAUCUCUGCAUACACCAAAUGUGAGCAUCUCCCUGGUGGAAAAGAGGUACAUUGCAAUGCCAUCAAAACUAGACAGAUUGACUCAGUUCUGCGUGCCACUCUCGUCGAUUUCUAUACUAAAUGUGGUGAAUUGAAAUCAGCAUUCAUGUUGCAUGAUGAAUGCCAAGUGAAGAGCAGCACCAUAUGGAGCAUCAUGAUGUGGAGCUUUAUUCAGAAUGGUGAGUUCUUGGAAGCUGUCAACGUGUUUGAAAGAAUGCAAAAGUCUGUAAUUAAGCCUUGUAAGGAUGCUCUAAGGGCCUUAGUUGCUGCAUAUACUAACUUGGGAGCUUUGUUGUUGGGUAGAGGAGUUCAUAAUCUUAUGUAGGCUGGGAUUGUGUAAAUAGAAUUUUUUUUGUAAAUAUUAUAGUUUUUGUAAACAUUCGAAUUUACUAUUGUGGUC